UCCUACGGGGGGCAGCAGUGGGGAAUAUUGCACAAUGGGGGAAACCCUGAUGCAGCAACGCCGCGUGAGUGAAGAAGUAUUUCGAUAUGUAAAGCUCUAUCAGCAGGGAAGAAGAUGACGGUACCUGAGUAAGAAGCCCCGGCUAACUACGUGCCAGCAGCCGCGGUAAUACGUAGGGAGCGAGCGUUGUCCGGAUUUACUGGGUGUAAAGGGUGCGUAGGCGGGUAAGCAAGUCAGAAGUGAAAUCCAUGGGCUUAACCCAUGAACUGCUUUUGAAACUGUUUAUCUUGAGUGAAGUAGAGGUA
Molecule: ribosomal RNA, 305 nt
Filed under: uncultured bacterium
Lineage: Bacteria
Description: bacterial SSU rRNA
Rfam family: Bacterial small subunit ribosomal RNA
Source: RNAcentral